GAAAUGCGAUAAGUAGUGUGAAUUGCAGAAUUCAGUGAAUCAUCGAAUCUUUGAACGCACAUUGCGCCCCUUGGUAUUCCAUGGGGCAUGCCUGUUCGAGCGUCAUUUGUACCCUCAAGCUCUGCCUGGUGUUGGGUGUUUGUCCCGUCUCCGCGCGUGGACUCGCCCCAAAGUGAUUGGCAGCCGGCGUACUGGUCCCGGAGCGCAGCACAUGUCGCGCAAACGAGUGCCUUGGUACGGCGGCGUCCAUAAGCCCCUCUCUCACGCUCUUGACCUCGGAUCAGGUAGGGAUACCCGCUGAACUUAAGC
This 309-nucleotide unclassified non-coding RNA is filed under the name plant metagenome. Its description in RNAcentral is "partial contains 5.8S ribosomal RNA, internal transcribed spacer 2, and large subunit ribosomal RNA". The stretch from base 1 to 105 matches the Rfam family "5.8S ribosomal RNA", at positions 50 to 154 of the family's 154-position model. The record is from RNAcentral.